Molecule: ribosomal RNA, 274 nt
Filed under: uncultured bacterium
Lineage: Bacteria
Description: partial 16S ribosomal RNA
Rfam family: Archaeal small subunit ribosomal RNA
Source: RNAcentral
AAACCAGCACCUCAAGUGGUCAGGAGGAUUAUUGGGCCUAAAGCAUCCGUAGCCUGUUCUGUAAGUUUUCGGUUAAAUCCAUUAGCUCAACUAAUGGGCCGCCGAAAAUACUGCAUAACUAGGGAGUGGGAGAGGUAGACGGUACUCGGUAGGAAGGGGUAAAAUCCUUUGAUCUAUUGAUGACCACCUGUGGCGAAGGCGGUCUACCAGAACACGUUCGACGGUGAGGGAUGAAAGCUGGGGGAGCAAACCGGAUUAGAAACCCGGGUAGUCC